RNAcentral lists this ribosomal RNA (397 nucleotides) under uncultured bacterium. Its description in RNAcentral is "bacterial SSU rRNA". It matches the Rfam family "Bacterial small subunit ribosomal RNA", at positions 362 to 776 of the family's 1533-position model. The record is from RNAcentral.
UAUUGGACAAUGGGCGCAAGCCUGAUCCAGCAAUGCCGCGUGAGUGAUGAAGGCCUUAGGGUUGUAAAGCUCUUUUACCCGGGAUGAUAAUGACAGUACCGGGAGAAUAAGCCCCGGCUAACUCCGUGCCAGCAGCCGCGGUAAUACGGAGGGGGCUAGCGUUGUUCGGAAUUACUGGGCGUAAAGCGCACGUAGGCGGCUUUGUAAGUUAGAGGUGAAAGCCCAGGGCUUAACCCUGGAAUUGCCUUUAAGACUGCAUCGCUAGAAUCGUGGAGAGGUGAGUGGAAUUCCGAGUGUAGAGGUGAAAUUCGUAGAUACUCGGAAGAACACCAGUGGCGAAGGCGACUCACUGGACACGUAUUGACGCUGAGGUGCGAAAGCGUGGGGAGCAAACAGG